This is a long non-coding RNA of Malaclemys terrapin pileata, 1127 nucleotides long. RefSeq lists it as uncharacterized. NCBI's taxonomy places the organism in Eukaryota, Metazoa, Chordata, Testudines, Emydidae. The transcript has 3 exons. The record is from RefSeq and is a predicted model, not a curated record.
UGCACAGGCUGUGGGAGAAGAAGAGGAGCAGCGGGAGAGGGAACGUGACAGAGGAGGGAGAAAAGGAAGAGUAUCAUCAUCUUGGGAAGGAGGUCCACACCUGGAACUGACCAAGCAGGUAAUAAAGAUUGUAAAGAGAGACUCCAGAGGAGAUGUGGACCAUUGGGCACACCAGGCUUGGAAAUGCUUCCACUUUUGCAGGUGUACAGAUGCCAAGAGAUCACACAGUCACCCUAGAGUCUUUAAGUCAGUGGAGGGAACCAUUCAUGGCAUCACUGAAAAGCUUAGGCUUUUCAAAAGGAAGGUUCUCCACGGUAUUUUGUAUCUCCUUGACAAGGCAGAGGAUUGCAACCAUGACACCUAAUGCAUGAUUACAGCAGUUGCCAUCAAAUGUGAAGCUGUAUGUGCCACAUUGAGAGAAGUCUGAAAGGAAGCCUUAAUGAUUAACUGGCCUUCUGGGAAGAGGGCUUGUAACUGCUCCCUCUGGUCUUGAGGCAAAUGUUCAGUGAAAUGUGAAAAUGUAAUGUAAUUUGUGAAGUCAUAUUUUGCAUAAGUGAUGGGGCUUAAGCCCCAUCACCUGCAAGGCUAGUGAAUGCACCUAAUUAGUCAUGCUCUGCAGCUGUGGGGGGAGCAGGUGAAUACUUAAUUGGCUCCCAGCCAGAGGGAGCAGAGCUAAGCCACAAAAUAAGUAGAUUGAAGGAGUUCAACUGAGGGGAGAGACUGCAGAAGAGACAGGUGCCUCUAACUGAGAGAAGUCCAGUGUUAGGGUAACAGAGAUAAUGGGGGCAGUCCCCUACAGGGGCUGCAUACACUCCUGCAAAGGAAGCCCUAAAACAAGAGUACAAGGAGAGGACUUCAGCAGCCCAAAGGGGCAGGAGAAUUAUCCAUAUUCAUUUGGACUUGUUCAUGAUACCCUGGAAGUGGUUUGAACUUUGUGACUUUGCCAGAGGACUGAGCCACUGGAGUCAGAAGCAGGAAGUCAGCAGGAGGCACUGAAGUCAAAGACAGCAGCAACAUCUCGCCCACCACACAUCAAGGCCCGAUAGUUCACAACUCUAAAUUGGAGAGCAACCAAGGAAUAGCUCUUGUAGCCUGUAAGGUCCAUGUACUUACAUUAUUUAUCAGAA